Molecule: ribosomal RNA, 451 nt
Filed under: uncultured bacterium
Lineage: Bacteria
Description: SSU rRNA
Rfam family: Bacterial small subunit ribosomal RNA
Source: RNAcentral
AGAGCGAACGCUGGCGGCAUGCUUAACACAUGCAAGUCGCACGGUCAGCAAUGGCAGUGGCGGACGGGUGAGUAACGCGUAGGAAUCUAUCCAGAGGUGGGGGACAACAGUGGGAAACUACUGCUAAUACCGCAUGUUACCUGAGGGUUAAAGGCGCAAGUCGCCUUUGGAGGAGCCUGCGUCUGAUUAGCUUGUUGGUGGGGUAAAGGCCUACCAAGGCGACGAUCAGUAGCUGGUCUGAGAGGAUGAUCAGCCACAUUGGGACUGAGACACGGCCCAAACUCCUACGGGAGGCAGCAGUGGGGAAUAUUGGACAAUGGGCGCAAGCCUGAUCCAGCAAUGCCGCGUGUGUGAAGAAGGUCUUCGGAUUGUAAAGCACUUUUGGCAGGGACGAUGAUGACGGUACCUGCAGAAUAAGCCCGGCUAAACUUCGUGCCAGCAGCCGCGGUAA